AGCAGCCGCGGUAAUUCCAGCUCCAAUAGCGUAUACUAAAGUCGUUGCAGUUAAAAAGCUCGUAGUUGAAUUUCGGGGUUAGUAGAUUGGUCAUGCCUCUGGUAUGUACUGGUCUCACUGAUUCCUCCUUCCUGAUGAACCUUAAUGCCAUUAAUUUGGUGUUUUGGGGAAUUUGGACUGUUACUUUGAAAAAAUUAGAGUGUUUAAAGCAAGCUAACGCUUGAAUACAUUAGCAUGGAAUAAUGAAAUAGGACGUUCGAUCCUAUUUUGUUGGUUUCUAGGAUUGACGUAAUGAUUAAUAGGGAUAGUUGGGGGCAUUAGUAUUCAAUUGUCAGAGGUGAAAUUCUUGGAUUUAUUGAAGACUAACUACUGCGAAAGCAUUUGCCAAGGAUGUUUUCAUUAAUCAAGAACGAAAGUUAGGGGAUCGAAGACGAUCAGAUACCGUCGUAGUCUUAACCAUAAACUAUGCCGACUAGGGAUCGGAUGAUGUUAAUUUUUUAAUGACUCA
This 508-nucleotide ribosomal RNA is filed under the name uncultured glomeraceous AM fungus. Its description in RNAcentral is "SSU rRNA". It matches the Rfam family "Eukaryotic small subunit ribosomal RNA", at positions 569 to 1078 of the family's 1831-position model. Lineage: Eukaryota; Fungi; Glomeromycota; Glomeromycetes; Glomerales; Glomeraceae. The record is from RNAcentral.